Long non-coding RNA from Lontra canadensis (Northern American river otter), 912 nucleotides. RefSeq lists it as uncharacterized. Lineage: Eukaryota; Metazoa; Chordata; Mammalia; Carnivora; Mustelidae. The record is from RefSeq and is a predicted model, not a curated record. The transcript has 5 exons.
GUCAGGGUCUCAUGUCCCUCACAGUAUGGAAGCCGCGGCCUCGUUCCACUCCCGCCCACAGAUUCUUCUCUGAUUUCAAAGGACAGCAUGACCACCAAACUCCUGAACUGGAAAUUCCCAUGGUCAGUGGAGAAAAAAAUCUAGCAGCUGAUGCAUGAGGACCCACAGCCUGGCAAGUUCUCUUUGUAUCCUAUCAUGUGAAUAGAAGCCAAGGAAGGUUGUUUGGUUUGGAUUUCAGAUGGUGACUGACCAGCCCAGGGGAGCCAACAAAAAACUGCCUUGCUCUGUGCAUCUAGCGGACGGCAUCUCCAAGAGGCUAGCUGUCUCAGUCACCAGUUGUCCAUGUGAACAAAUUGCCACCCACGCCAUUACAUGAGAGUUGCCAGAUGAUAAGAACUUGAGGUUUUCAUAAAAGGGUGGAGAACACUUUGGGCCGUGGCAUUCAGAAGGAGCUAGGUACAGUGAAGACUCAAAGCAAAGGACUGGCACCUUGGGGCUCCAUGACUGCCACCGAGCAUGAAUGCAUGGGCACCGAGGGAUGCUAUCAAGGAUACCAGAUGUUGUCAACACGCAACGGUCUCCCGUCAGCAGGGAAAUUCUGAGGCGAUCCAAAAUCAUUUAUCCACACGCACCUCAAAGCCAAUGUGAGAAAUUCAUUUCCAAAGUGGGAAAUGUCUAUUCUGUGUCGUUGUUUCCAGACAAAACCCCUUCUUGUAUAAUACCAGAUGACAAAUGGUGCAGCUGCUCUUCUAUUGGACACAUAGAACAGCCAAAGAGGAGCAAUUGCUACAUUUACCAUACAUAAUCCCUACCCAAUGGGCUUAGAGAACUGCUUGCUUUUUUAUGUGUCAUCAACCAGAUGACAUCGGAAAGUCAUUUUAAAAAUAGCCCCUGCAUGGUAAUGAGUAAGUU